This 397-nucleotide ribosomal RNA is filed under the name uncultured bacterium. RNAcentral's name for it is "bacterial SSU rRNA". It matches the Rfam family "Bacterial small subunit ribosomal RNA", at positions 773 to 1167 of the family's 1533-position model. The record is from RNAcentral.
ACGUAAUAGAUACCCGGGUAGUCCACGCCCUAAACGAUGUCAACUAGUUGUUGGUGGAGUAAAAUCCAUUAGUAAACGCAGCUAAACGCGUGAAGUUGACCGCCUGGGGAGUACGGUCGCAAGAUUAAAACUCAAAGGAAUUGACGGGGCCCGCACAAGCGGUGGAUUAUGUGGAUUAAUUCGAUGCAACGCGAAAACCUUACCUGGCCUUGACAUGCCACUAACGAAGCAGAGAUGCAUUAGGUGCCCGAAAGGGAAAGUGGACACAGGUGCUGCAUGGCUGUCGUCAGCUCGUGUCGUGAGAUGUUGGGUUAAGUCCCGCAACGAGCGCAACCCUUGCCAAUAAUUGCCAUCAUUUAGUUGGGCACUUUAUUGGGACUGCCGGUGACAAACCGGA